AGUGAACGCUGGCGGUAGGCCUAACACAUGCAAGUCGAACGGCAGCACAGUAAUAGCUUGCUCUUACGGGUGGCGAGUGGCGGACGGGUGAGGAAUACAUCGGAAUCUACUUUUUCGUGGGGGAUAACGUAGGGAAACUUACGCUAAUACCGCAUACGACCUACGGGUGAAAGCAGGGGAUCUUCGGACCUUGCGCGAUUGAAUGACCCGAUGUCGGAUUAGCUAGUUGGCGGGGUAAAGGCCCACCAAGGCGACGAUCCGUAGCUGGUCUGAGAGGAUGAUCAGCCACACUGGAACUGAGACACGGUCCAGACUCCUACGGGAGGCAGCAGUGGGGAAUAUUGGACAAUGGGCGCAAGCCUGAUCCAGCCAUACCGCGUGGGUGAAGAAGGCCUUCGGGUUGUAAAGCCCUUUUGUUGGGAAAGAAAAGCAGCAGGUUAAUACCCCGCUGUUCUGACGGUACCCAAAGAAUAAGCACCGGCUAACUUCGUG
RNAcentral lists this ribosomal RNA (492 nucleotides) under uncultured bacterium. Its description in RNAcentral is "partial 16S ribosomal RNA". It matches the Rfam family "Bacterial small subunit ribosomal RNA", at positions 29 to 507 of the family's 1533-position model. The record is from RNAcentral.